RNAcentral lists this ribosomal RNA (423 nucleotides) under Culicoides trifasciellus. RNAcentral describes it as "partial 16S ribosomal RNA". Lineage: Eukaryota; Metazoa; Arthropoda; Insecta; Diptera; Ceratopogonidae. The record is from RNAcentral.
UUUACCGUGCAAGGUAGCAUAAUCAAUUGUUUUUUAAUUGAAGGCUUGAAUGAAUGGUUGUAUGAGAUAUAAACUAUUUUUAUUUUAAUAAAAUGAAUUUAAAAUUUUAGUAAAAAUGCUAAAAUUAAAAUAUUAGACGAGAAGACCCUAUAGAUCUUUAUUUAAAUUUUUAUUUAAAAAUAUUGAAUAAUUUAUUUUAAUUUAAAAUUUAAAUUUUAUUGGGGCGAUAAUGAAAUUUUAAAAACUUUUAUUUAAAAUAAUAAAAAUAAUUAAUUUUUUGAUCCAUUAAUAAUGAUUAAAAGUUUAAGUUACCUUAGGGAUAACAGCAUAAUUAUUUUAAAAAGUUCUUAUUAAUAAAAUAGAUUAUGACCUCGAUUGUAGCACAGUGAGAUUCGUGUAUCAAAGUGACGCCAUCGUGUGUCA